CGUAGGGUGCGAGCGUUAAUCGGAAUUACUGGGCGUAAAGCGUGCGCAGGCGGUUUAGUAAGACAGGCGUGAAAUCCCCGGGCUCAACCUGGGAACUGCGCUUGUGACUGCUAAGCUAGAGUACGGCAGAGGGGGGUGGAAUUCCACGUGUAGCAGUGAAAUGCGUAGAGAUGUGGAGGAACACCAAUGGCGAAGGCAGCCCCCUGGGUCGAUACUGACGCUCAUGCACGAAAGCGUGGUAGCAAACAGGAUUAGAUACCCUGGUAGUCCACGCCCUAAACGAUGUCAACUAGGUGUUGGGAGGGUAAAACCUUUUAGUACCGGAGCUAACGCGUGAAGUUGACCGCCUGGGGAGUACGGCCGCAAGGUUA
RNAcentral lists this ribosomal RNA (371 nucleotides) under uncultured organism. RNAcentral's name for it is "bacterial SSU rRNA". It matches the Rfam family "Bacterial small subunit ribosomal RNA", at positions 526 to 896 of the family's 1533-position model. The record is from RNAcentral.